GUCGUCGUCGUCGUCGUCACGCUGCAUUGCCACAAAAAAUCUUGAAAUAAUAUAUCAUAAUUUCUUCAUAGCAAAGUGUUCGAAUCCGUCAAUAAGCACAAAUGCAAGAGUGGUAGGAAAUGAGUUCUACAAUGGCAAGGAAGUGGAAUUUGUCUGUCGGAGAGAUUAUGUUCUUGAUCUAGAAAUUUCAAAGAAGUUGACUUGUGAAAAUGGAAAAUGGAAAGGAAUAAUCCCAUUGUGUAAAGGUAUAACAGAUCUGGUCUAUCGCGUUAAGAAUCCCAACGACCGGAAUGGUUCAUGGUGCACGUACACAAAUACAAAUUUAUUUCUUUGCUUGAUUGUAAUAAAAGGUAGAGUGCAUGAAACUUGCCUUUACGGCCACCUCGUUAAUACCGUGAUCUCUUUAUUACGUCCACUUAUUUUUGUCCUCGAAAAACGCCAAAAUAAUACACUUUCUUAUAAAGAUACCCAGUUAAAACUGCCACCUCGUUAAUACGGUCAAUUUUCUUUCGGCCCGUCCUUGGCUGUUUUUCGGCCGAUCCGUUGACUGGGGUUCCACUUUCUAAGUUAUAUUACCCAAUCUUUCAAUUACUUUAGCUAGAAAUGAUUACCCAACAAAUUUAUCUUCACUAUCAACCUUCAAGUAUAACUAAUGAAUGACUUCUUUUUUUUCUGUCCGUAGCACCAUGUAGAAAGCUCGGCGCACCAGCUCAUUCAAGAAUCACAAAAGGAGGUUUUAGACAUAACGAGAAUAUCAAAUUUGAAUGUGAUCCAGACUAUCACCUGCGAGGAAGGAACGUCUUGACCUGUUCAGAUGGAACAUGGAAUGGUGCCCCUCCGACCUGUUUAGCAAGGCGAGAAACGUUGGACACGCGCCCGACUUGUCUUUGAAGGGUACUUGGUUUAACUAAUUUAAAUUAAUAACUCUAAUUUAAGCAAAGCCACGCCAAGCCAGACAGAAAUAUUGCUCAAAUUAUUCAAAUGAUAUUGUUUUAAAAUAGUAUAUUUACACCUAGUUAUAUAGUUCUCAUAUUCACUGAGACAUUUCUUCAAGCUAUGGCUCUCAUUCGUGC
Non-coding RNA from Paramuricea clavata, 1073 nucleotides. The record is from the annotation of a GenBank genome assembly. NCBI's taxonomy places the organism in Eukaryota, Metazoa, Cnidaria, Anthozoa, Malacalcyonacea, Plexauridae.